RNAcentral lists this ribosomal RNA (465 nucleotides) under Colletotrichum magnum. Its description in RNAcentral is "eukaryotic LSU rRNA". It matches the Rfam family "Eukaryotic large subunit ribosomal RNA", at positions 120 to 593 of the family's 3401-position model. Lineage: Eukaryota; Fungi; Ascomycota; Sordariomycetes; Glomerellales; Glomerellaceae. The record is from RNAcentral.
AUCUGGCCCCCCGGGUCCGAGUUGUAAUUUGCAGAGGAUGCUUUUGGCGCGGUGCCUUCCGAGUUCCCUGGAACGGGACGCCAUAGAGGGUAGAGAGCCCCGUACGGUUGGACACCAAGCCUAUGUAAAGCUCCUUCGACGAGUCGAGUAGUUUGGGAAUGCUGCUCAAAAUGGGAGGUAUAUUUCUUCUAAAGCUAAAUACCGGCCAGAGACCGAUAGCGCACAAGUAGAGUGAUCGAAAGAUGAAAAGCACUUUGAAAAGAGGGUUAAACAGCACGUGAAAUUGUUAAAAGGGAAGCGCUUGUGACCAGACUUGCGUCCGGUGAAUCACCCAGCUCUCGCGGCUGGGGCACUUUGCCGGCUCAGGCCAGCAUCAGCUCGCCGUCGGGGACAAAAGCUUCGGGAACGUAGCUCUCUUCGGGGAGUGUUAUAGCCCGUUUGCACAAUACCCUUCGGCGGGCUGAG